RNAcentral lists this ribosomal RNA (2214 nucleotides) under Escherichia coli. Its description in RNAcentral is "bacterial LSU rRNA". It matches the Rfam family "Bacterial large subunit ribosomal RNA", at positions 1 to 2230 of the family's 2925-position model. The record is from RNAcentral. Lineage: Bacteria; Pseudomonadati; Pseudomonadota; Gammaproteobacteria; Enterobacterales; Enterobacteriaceae.
GGGUUGUGAGGUUAAGCGACUAAGCGUACACGGUGGAUGCCCUGGCAGUCAGAGGCGAUGAAGGACGUGCUAAUCUGCGAUAAGCGUCGGUAAGGUGAUAUGAACCGUUAUAACCGGCGAUUUCCGAAUGGGGAAACCCAGUGUGAUUCGUCACACUAUCAUUAACUGAAUCCAUAGGUUAAUGAGGCGAACCGGGGGAACUGAAACAUCUAAGUACCCCGAGGAAAAGAAAUCAACCGAGAUUCCCCCAGUAGCGGCGAGCGAACGGGGAGCAGCCCAGAGCCUGAAUCAGUGUGUGUGUUAGUGGAAGUGUCUGGAAAGGCGCGCGAUACAGGGUGACAGCCCCGUACACAAAAAUGCACAUACUGUGAGCUCGAUGAGUAGGGCGGGACACGUGGUAUCCUGUCUGAAUAUGGGGGGACCAUCCUCCAAGGCUAAAUACUCCUGACUGACCGAUAGUGAACCAGUACCGUGAGGGAAAGGCGAAAAGAACCCCGGCGAGGGGAGUGAAAAAGAACCUGAAACCGUGUACGUACAAGCAGUGGGAGCACGCUUCGGCGUGUGACUGCGUACCUUUUGUAUAAUGGGUCAGCGACUUAUAUUCUGUAGCAAGGUUAACCGAAUAGGGGAGCCGAAGGGAAACCGAGUCUUAACUGGGCGUUAAGUUGCAGGGUAUAGACCCGAAACCCGGUGAUCUAGCCAUGGGCAGGUUGAAGGUUGGGUAACACUAACUGGAGGACCGAACCGACUAAUGUUGAAAAAUUAGCGGAUGACUUGUGGCUGGGGGUGAAAGGCCAAUCAAACCGGGAGAUAGCUGGUUCUCCCCGAAAGCUAUUUAGGUAGCGCCUCGUGAAUUCAUCUCCGGGGGUAGAGCACUGUUUCGGCAAGGGGGUCAUCCCGACUUACCAACCCGAUGCAAACUGCGAAUACCGGAGAAUGUUAUCACGGGAGACACACGGCGGGUGCUAACGUCCGUCGUGAAGAGGGAAACAACCCAGACCGCCAGCUAAGGUCCCAAAGUCAUGGUUAAGUGGGAAACGAUGUGGGAAGGCCCAGACAGCCAGGAUGUUGGCUUAGAAGCAGCCAUCAUUUAAAGAAAGCGUAAUAGCUCACUGGUCGAGUCGGCCUGCGCGGAAGAUGUAACGGGGCUAAACCAUGCACCGAAGCUGCGGCAGCGACACUAUGUGUUGUUGGGUAGGGGAGCGUUCUGUAAGCCUGUGAAGGUGGCCUGUGAGGGUUGCUGGAGGUAUCAGAAGUGCGAAUGCUGACAUAAGUAACGAUAAAGCGGGUGAAAAGCCCGCUCGCCGGAAGACCAAGGGUUCCUGUCCAACGUUAAUCGGGGCAGGGUGAGUCGACCCCUAAGGCGAGGCCGAAAGGCGUAGUCGAUGGGAAACAGGUUAAUAUUCCUGUACUUGGUGUUACUGCGAAGGGGGGACGGAGAAGGCUAUGUUGGCCGGGCGACGGUUGUCCCGGUUUAAGCGUGUAGGCUGGUUUUCCAGGCAAAUCCGGAAAAUCAAGGCUGAGGCGUGAUGACGAGGCACUACGGUGCUGAAGCAACAAAUGCCCUGCUUCCAGGAAAAGCCUCUAAGCAUCAGGUAACAUCAAAUCGUACCCCAAACCGACACAGGUGGUCAGGUAGAGAAUACCAAGGCGCUUGAGAGAACUCGGGUGAAGGAACUAGGCAAAAUGGUGCCGUAACUUCGGGAGAAGGCACGCUGAUAUGUAGGUGAAGUCCCUUGCGGAUGGAGCUGAAAUCAGUCGAAGAUACCAGCUGGCUGCAACUGUUUAUUAAAAACACAGCACUGUGCAAACACGAAAGUGGACGUAUACGGUGUGACGCCUGCCCGGUGCCGGAAGGUUAAUUGAUGGGGUUAGCGGUAACGCGAAGCUCUUGAUCGAAGCCCCGGUAAACGGCGGCCGUAACUAUAACGGUCCUAAGGUAGCGAAAUUCCUUGUCGGGUAAGUUCCGACCUGCACGAAUGGCGUAAUGAUGGCCAGGCUGUCUCCACCCGAGACUCAGUGAAAUUGAACUCGCUGUGAAGAUGCAGUGUACCCGCGGCAAGACGGAAAGACCCCGUGAACCUUUACUAUAGCUUGACACUGAACAUUGAGCCUUGAUGUGUAGGAUAGGUGGGAGGCUUUGAAGUGUGGACGCCAGUCUGCAUGGAGCCGACCUUGAAAUACCACCCUUUAAUGUUUGAUGUUCUAACGUUG